GUGGGGAAUAUUGCACAAUGGGCGCAAGCCUGAUGCAGCCAUGCCGCGUGUAUGAAGAAGGCCUUCGGGUUGUAAAGUACUUUCAGCGAGGAGGAAGGCAUUAAGGUUAAUAACCUUGGUGAUUGACGUUACUCGCAGAAGAAGCACCGGCUAACUCCGUGCCAGCAGCCGCGGUAAUACGGAGGGUGCAAGCGUUAAUCGGAAUUACUGGGCGUAAAGCGCACGCAGGCGGUCUGUCAAGUCGGAUGUGAAAUCCCCGGGCUCAACCUGGGAACUGCAUUCGAAACGGGCAGGCUAGAGUCUUGUAGAGGGGGGUAGAAUUCCAGGUGUAGCGGUGAAAUGCGUAGAGAUCUGGAGGAAUACCGGUGGCGAAGGCGGCCCCCUGGACAAAGACUGACGCUCAGGUGCGAAAGCGUGGGGAGCAAACAGGAUUAGAAACCCCAGUAGUCC
Molecule: ribosomal RNA, 450 nt
Filed under: uncultured bacterium
Lineage: Bacteria
Description: partial 16S ribosomal RNA
Rfam family: Bacterial small subunit ribosomal RNA
Source: RNAcentral